ACCAGACUCCUACGGGAGGCAGCAGUGGGGGAUAUUGCACAAUGGGGGGAACCCUGAUGCAGCGACGCCGCGUGGGUGAAGAAGCGCCUCGGCGCGUAAAGCCCUGUCAGCAGGGAAGAAAAUGACGGUACCUGAAGAAGAAGCCCCGGCUAACUACGUGCCAGCAGCCGCAGUAAUACGUAGGGGGCAAGCGUUAUCCGGAUUUACUGGGUGUAAAGGGGGCGCAGACGGCGAUGCAAGCCAGGAGUGAAAGCCCGGGGCCCAACCCCGGGACUGCUCUUGGAACUGCGUGGCUGGAGUGCAGGAGGGGCAGGCGGAAUUCCUGGUGUAGCGGUGAAAUGCGUAGAUAUCAGGAGGAACACCGGUGGCGAAGGCGGCCUGCUGGACUGCAACUGACGUUGAGGCCCGAAAGCGUGGGGAGCAAACAGGAUUAGAUACCCCUGUAGU
RNAcentral lists this ribosomal RNA (447 nucleotides) under uncultured bacterium. RNAcentral describes it as "bacterial SSU rRNA". It matches the Rfam family "Bacterial small subunit ribosomal RNA", at positions 330 to 794 of the family's 1533-position model. The record is from RNAcentral.